Lolium perenne is the source of this 1540-nucleotide non-coding RNA. NCBI's taxonomy places the organism in Eukaryota, Viridiplantae, Streptophyta, Magnoliopsida, Poales, Poaceae. The record is from RefSeq and is a predicted model, not a curated record.
CCACCUCUUCACCUAUUUUACAUUUACAUGCUCAUUUGAUCUAAUGCUAUCCUUAUGUUGCGAUUCUGUUGUGUCACGUGUCCUAUCCACCUGUUACCUAUAUGUCCGAGAUACACCUUCUCGCCCUACCUAUUGUUUGUUGUUUGCCAGCUUUGCGAGUCGUAGGCGAGUUUAGGGUUUUUGUUGAUAUCUCGAAUUGUUCGGGAUAUCUUGUUGGGAUGUUGACACAUGUACUACUUUUUCGAAAAUGAAGUGGAUAACUUUUGCUACAAAUAAAAUUGCUAAGGGAUAUAAUAUGCAGAGGCAUCUGUGAGCCCCUUUGCGAAAGCAUCGGAACUUUGACUUGCUAAUGUCCCCUAGGACCCGAGUUCUUGUUAUCUGUUUCUAAGACUGAGCGCGCUAACCACACGUGGGAGGUUUUAUCGGGACCCCCCAUCACCCAUUACCUUUUCUCAAGUCUGUUGAAAAGGGGGCCACAACCUUGGUUUUAUUUGGUGCACGCAUAUUUAUUACUGUUGCCUUCGGGUGUUUACUUCCUGUUGCCUUCGGGUGGUUUAUUUAUGUACUGCACUGCAUAAUUGCUAGACGACUUAUCUAGUGCUUGGCCGUUAGUGCCCGCCUAGAUGCCUACGCAACCUCUGGGUCCGUCUCGGAGUACGGCCGAACUUCGUCACGGGUAGCUUAGUUGGGUGGCCCCCCUAGGCAUUCUUGCAGAUCUGGGAACGGUCUUGUUGUGAGACUCCGCACUUGACUAUGUUGGUUCGAGCAUGCGUGUAUGGUAACAUUGGUGCACCCCUGCAGGGUAAAUCUUAUCGAUAAGCCGUGUCCGCGGUUAUGGACGACUUGGAACUGUUUAACUCGAUCAUAGAACAACUUACACCUAAUGUUGUCGCUAAUAACUUGUUAAUUAUUUGCGUAGUAAGUUAGCCCUAUUAUAAUGGAAUGGAUAUAAAAUUGUCAACUGUGUGAGUGCCUUGUUAGUACCUCUUGGCUAAGGGGGAUCGCACUGGCAGGGUUGUUGUUUGCAGAGUAUAGAACUGCUAGAAUAUGCGCUCUCUCACCUUCUCUAUUAGAUGGAUGUUGUAGCGUGUCUCUAUUGGUUAGUGCUUUGCUGCCGCUAAACUCCACCAUAUAGCCGGGCGAAGUUUACACCGCCCACCAGCAAGCAUAGCUGGUCUUGUCUCGCAAGUACGUGCCAAUGGUACUUUACCUCGUUUUUUUCUCCCUCUUUUUCCGGAACCCGUUUUUCGACAAACAGUACGACAGAUGAUGAUCAGUAUGCAGGAGGCUACUUUGUCGAGUUCACGGACGACGACUUCGUUGCGUAGCAGGAUCGUUCCUAAGGCAGCAGCCUGUGGCUUGUUGGUUAUGGGAACACCGCUUGAUUAUCCUCAGGACUCUUAGUCCAAUUUGGAUCUUGUCUGUACCCAGACUAUUUGGCUAUCUUAUGUAUGAUGUAAUGUUGGGAUAUGUUUCCCCGUUGAGUGUCAUUUGGAUCUUGCUCAUUAGAGCGUUGCUAUAUAUAUGAGCCUUAUUUCCA